RNAcentral lists this ribosomal RNA (244 nucleotides) under uncultured bacterium. RNAcentral's name for it is "partial small subunit ribosomal RNA". It matches the Rfam family "Bacterial small subunit ribosomal RNA", at positions 26 to 285 of the family's 1533-position model. The record is from RNAcentral.
AGAAUCAACGCUGGCGGCGUGCCUAACACGUGCAAGUCGAACGAGAAAGUGGAGCAAUCCAUGAGUACAGUGGCGACCGGGUGAGUAACACGUGACUAACCUACCCUUGAGUGGGGGAUAACUGAGGGAAACCUUAGCUAAUACCGCAUAAUACCCACGGGUCAAAGGAGCAAUUCGCUCGAGGAGGGGUCGCGGCCGAUUAGUUAGUUGGCAGGGUAAUGGCCUACCAAGACGAUGAUCGGUA